This 220-nucleotide ribosomal RNA is filed under the name Campeiostachys nutans. RNAcentral's name for it is "Elymus nutans partial small subunit ribosomal RNA". It matches the Rfam family "Eukaryotic small subunit ribosomal RNA", at positions 665 to 864 of the family's 1831-position model. Lineage: Eukaryota; Viridiplantae; Streptophyta; Magnoliopsida; Poales; Poaceae. The record is from RNAcentral.
GGAUUGACACAUCGGUCGUGCCUUAAGGGGUGUGAACUGGUGUAGUCAAUUUCUCACCUUCUGGAGAACCGCGAUGUCCUUAAUUGGGUGCCUCGAGGAACCAGGACUUUUACUUUGAAAAAAUUAGAGUGUUCAAAGCAGGCAUAUGCCCGAAUACAUUAGCAUGGAAUAAUAAAAUAGGACGUGCGGUUCUAUUUUGUUGGUUUCUAGAGUCGCCGUA